This 253-nucleotide ribosomal RNA is filed under the name uncultured bacterium. RNAcentral's name for it is "partial 16S ribosomal RNA". It matches the Rfam family "Bacterial small subunit ribosomal RNA", at positions 524 to 776 of the family's 1533-position model. The record is from RNAcentral.
CACGGGGGGAACGAGCGUUGUUCGGAUUUACUGGGCGUAAAGGGUGCGUAGGCGGGUUGGCAAGUCGGGUGUGAAAUUCCAUGGCUUAACCAUGGAUCUGCAUUCGAAACUGCCGGUCUUGAGUACUGGAGAGGUGAGUGGAAUUCCCGGUGUAGCGGUGAAAUGCGUAGAUAUCGGGAGGAACGCCGUUGGCGAAGGCGGCUCACUGGACAGAUACUGACGCUGAGGGACGAAGGUCGGGGGAGCAAACAGG